This 550-nucleotide long non-coding RNA is filed under the name Mus musculus (house mouse). RNAcentral describes it as "long non-coding RNA chr10:41530490-41531040". Lineage: Eukaryota; Metazoa; Chordata; Mammalia; Rodentia; Muridae. The record is from RNAcentral.
UCUAUUUCAGUGCUGUAGCUGUUAGUUUUAAGUGAGUGCUAAAGUUCUUUUAAAAGUACACAGAAUUUCCAUUCCUUAUAAAGGUGGCAAAAUUGGUUUGUCAUUUACCUCCAUGUGACUCCUUGCCCCAUAUAAAUGUCAGCAUAUGUAGCAAGUUUUCUAAGAAUGUAACUUAAUUUGAAGCUCCUGAAAUUUUGAGCACUGCUCUAACAUUGUAGGAAGUUAGUGACAUUUUGCAAGUCUCUACAAAAGCUCUUGCCACAGAAUUCACUGCUGCCCUGACUCUUCACCAUCUUUCUUUAGCAAGGUAUUUUGAGCCAUUAAUGAUUUUGGGUUUUUUAAUCCAGAAGGUAUAUAAAAGCCUUUUCAGAGUUUUCAUCUGAUUUGUCCUGAGGAUCUAGUUCUAUCAAAUACCUUAUUUUACCUUUGCCAUACUUGCUGCACAAGCAGACACUGCUGGACUUAGAAGUUUCUAUUUGAGUUCCUUAAACUACAAAACUAAUAUGUAUGUGUACCAAACUGAUUUAAAAUAAAUGUUUAUUAGUCUCUU